This 70-nucleotide transfer RNA is filed under the name Physiculus japonicus (Japanese codling). RNAcentral describes it as "tRNA-Gly". It matches the Rfam family "tRNA". From Rfam's summary of the family: Transfer RNA (tRNA) molecules are approximately 80 nucleotides in length. Lineage: Eukaryota; Metazoa; Chordata; Actinopteri; Gadiformes; Moridae. The record is from RNAcentral.
AUCUUCCUAGUAUCAAAUAGUAUCCGUGGCUUCCAACCACAAGGUCUUGGUUAAAGUCCAAGGGAAGAUA